GACGGAAGGUGCAAGCGUUGCUCGGAAUCACUGGGCGUAAAGGGUGCGUAGGCGGCUUGGUAGGUCUGGUGUGAAAGCCCCGGGCUCAGCCCGGGAAGGGCACUAGAAACUGCCAAGCUAGAGUGCCGGAGGGGAGAGUGGAAUUCCUGGUGUAGCGGUGAAAUGCGUAGAGAUCAGGAGGAAUACCGGUGGCGAAGGCGGCGACCUGGGUCGAGACUGACGCUGAGGCGCGAAAGCGUGGGGAGCAAACAGG
This 253-nucleotide ribosomal RNA is filed under the name uncultured bacterium. RNAcentral describes it as "partial 16S ribosomal RNA". It matches the Rfam family "Bacterial small subunit ribosomal RNA", at positions 524 to 776 of the family's 1533-position model. The record is from RNAcentral.